CUCGCGGCAAGCACAACCGGGAAUACAGAUUCGUGAACAUGGGGCAUCACGUACCACCCGGAGCAGGGCAGCCUCUACUCAGGCCGGGAAACAGAAGGCAGUAGCCGAGGAGCCUCCUGAGGGGGAGUCCUCUGAUGAUGACGAUGUGAGCCUUGCUGAGGUAAUUGCUGCUCAUACUUGCAAACGCGGUCGCGCCCAAAUCGCUGAAGAGGACUUUGAGGACGACGAGCCUCUGUCA
Long non-coding RNA from Rosa rugosa (rugosa rose), 238 nucleotides. RefSeq lists it as uncharacterized. NCBI's taxonomy places the organism in Eukaryota, Viridiplantae, Streptophyta, Magnoliopsida, Rosales, Rosaceae. The record is from RefSeq and is a predicted model, not a curated record. The transcript is spliced from 3 exons.